AUACGGAGGAUGCGAGCGUUAUCCGGAUUUAUUGGGUUUAAAGGGAGCGUAGGCGGGAGCUUAAGUCAGCGGUUAAAUGGUGCGGCUCAACCGUGCCCUGCCGUUGAAACUGGGUUUCUUGAGAGUGCAAGAGGCGGAUGGAAUUCAUGGUGUAGCGGGGAAAUGCUUAGAUAUCAUGAAGAACUCCGAUUGCGAAGGCAGGCCGCUGGGGCACGUCUGACGCUGAUGCUCGAAGGUGCGGGAAUCAAACAGGAUUAGAUACCCUGGUAGUCCGCACGGUAAACGAUGAAUACUAGGUGUAGGGGGUAUCGACUCCCUCUGUGCCGCAGUUAACACAAUAAGUAUUCCGCCUGGGGAGUACGGCCGCAAGGUUGAAACUCAAAUGAAUUGGCGGGG
Molecule: ribosomal RNA, 396 nt
Filed under: uncultured bacterium
Lineage: Bacteria
Description: partial 16S ribosomal RNA
Rfam family: Bacterial small subunit ribosomal RNA
Source: RNAcentral